Long non-coding RNA from Zea mays, 287 nucleotides. RefSeq lists it as uncharacterized. NCBI's taxonomy places the organism in Eukaryota, Viridiplantae, Streptophyta, Magnoliopsida, Poales, Poaceae. The transcript has 3 exons. The record is from RefSeq and is a predicted model, not a curated record.
UGUCUAAAGCUGGGAAUGAUAAAGCCCUAGAGAUGAUGGACGAAUUAUUAGGGUUAUUGAUGCGUGUGGAGCCUGAUAUAGGUACUGGUGAGAGUUGUGGCACAAGUGUUUGCGAUGACAUCCAGGUCGAAGCGUAUGAAACAGAAGAAAUGGCUAUAGACAACUUACGCAAAUUAGAUGAUGGGAACGAGGAAAUUUUAAUGGGCUCUAAUACAAAUGAAUGCAAUACUAAGGAUGAUCAAUGUAAUAUGCAGAUAUUAACAUUGGAACAUAACACUGACAUUCGG